CCUACGGGUGGCAGCAGUGAGGAAUAUUUGUCAAUGGCCGGAAGGCUGAACCAGCCAUGCCGCGUGAAGGUCAGUGCCCUAUGGGCGUUAAACUUCUUUUGUGCGGGAGCAAUAAUGGUCACGUGUGGCCAGACGAGAGUACCGUACGAAUAAGCAUCGGCUAACUCCGGGCAAGCAGCCGCGGUAAUACGGGGGAUGCAAGCGUUAGCCGGAUUUAUUGGGUUUAAAGGGUGCGUAGGCUGUGAGGUAAGUCAGCGGGGAAAUGCCCCCGCUCAACGGGGUGAAGUGACAUUGAUACUGCCUUGCUGGAAUGCGGAUGCCGUGGGAGGAAUGUGUGGUGUAGCGGUGAAAUGCAGAGAGAGCACACAGAACACCGAUUGCGAAGGCAUGUCACGAAUCCGCAAUUGACGCUGAUGCACGAAAGCGUGGGUAUCAAACAGGAUUAGAUACCCUUGUAGUC
RNAcentral lists this ribosomal RNA (460 nucleotides) under uncultured bacterium. RNAcentral's name for it is "partial 16S ribosomal RNA". It matches the Rfam family "Bacterial small subunit ribosomal RNA", at positions 338 to 795 of the family's 1533-position model. The record is from RNAcentral.